UACGAGGGGUCCAAGCGUUGCUCGGAAUCAUUGGGCGUAAAGCGGGUGUAGGUGGCUUUGUAAGUCAGGAGUGAAAGCCCUGGGCUCAACCCAGGAAGUGCUUUUGAUACUGCAAAGCUUGAGUGUGGGAGAGGAUCGUGGAAUUCCAGGUGUAGUGGUGAAAUACGUAGAUAUCUGGAGGAACACCGGUGGCGAAGGCGGCGAUCUGGCCCAACACUGACACUCAGACCCCGAAAGUGCGGGGAUC
Molecule: ribosomal RNA, 247 nt
Filed under: uncultured bacterium
Lineage: Bacteria
Description: partial 16S ribosomal RNA
Rfam family: Bacterial small subunit ribosomal RNA
Source: RNAcentral